This is a non-coding RNA of Taeniopygia guttata (zebra finch), 6620 nucleotides long. Lineage: Eukaryota; Metazoa; Chordata; Aves; Passeriformes; Estrildidae. The record is from RefSeq and is a predicted model, not a curated record.
CGGCUAAAGCAGGCAGGGCGGUCCCAGGGAAACACCGCGCUUCAUGUGCGGCUGCCGCGGGUGCAGAAACCCUUCCAGACAGACGGACACCUCCUCUUAGUUACAGUUCAGCCGUGCCUUGGGCAAGUCUGAAUUCCCUCCGGACACGCCUGAGGAAAUGGAGCAGCAGUCCCGUGACGCGCCGGGAGCGCUGGGCUGCAUCCCGCUCUUUAUUCUCAGAGCCUGCCAGCUCUGUAGGAGCUCCUUUAUGGCUCCGCGGGGAGGUGCAGGGCUUGCAGAUAGAUGUCUAUUAUAACAAAACAAGGCAGAAACUGUCCAAGAUUGCUGGUGACUCCUUUUAAUGUCACUCUUUCUUCCUCUGCUCAUAACUAAAAACUCUCUCUCCUCUAACUACCUGUGCAGUCCCGGUGCUCCCAGCCUCCAGGUGUUCCCAGGUGUUCCUCCUGACCCUCACGCUAACUGGGCCUAGGUACCUUCUUACUUGUUUUCAACAAAAUAUUCCCGUGGUGUGUAGCGUGACAAUUCAGGUGACAAGGACUGAAAUACUCUGCUUUGUGCUAAUUUGGCUGGAAGGAUUAAACUACAUCUUAUUAUACCAUGACAAGGAAUACCUAGGAAAAUAAGUGUUUCCUGUUGCCCAUUAUUGCAGGUGUGCAAGAUAUUAACAAUGUACAGGCUGGACGGUCAAAACUGCCAUUGCCCCCAGUAAAUAUUUGCUAGAUUUUCCUUUCAAAGUAAAAAUUAUCUUUCCUUGUCCUGACUUCCGCUGGUAGGGUUUGUAUCAGUAGAUGCUGCUGAAGUACUGGGGUCACUGAGGGGAACAUCUGCAAGGAGCACCUGUAGGGCUGAAAUAGGUUUUCUGUCAGAUCCCUGUAUCCUGGUGCAGAGGGAGGAUGCUCUUUCACAGACUAAAGAGAAAUGUUCACUUAUGUUUUUGGAGUACCUUUAAUUGUGUAAAAAUAUUUGUUUCAGACCUGUAGCAUUAUGACUGUUAUUCUUCUCCCGCUAGGGCUGGAGUUCAGCAUCUAGUGAGAUGAGUCAUUAUUAAUUUUAGUACCUCUUUUGGAAGGUAAGAAACAUUUUAUCGACAAAGUGCUACAGGACCUUAUUUUGAACAAGUUUUGUCCUUUCUGCACUUACAGAAGAGCUUGCAAGAGGAAUGGGUGUAGUCCCACUUUGACCAUAGCACCUUAUAUUUUGUUUUUGAAUAGUAUUUGUUGGACAAAAAAGAUACAAUGUAAAGGGAAUUUUUCACAAAAUCUUUCAAUAAAUUCAUGUAUUAAAAUGUAUUCCUUCCUCAGUCAUUUUACUGUCAUCAUUCCACGUGGCAUAUCUUAUUUGUAGGGUGAGAUCUCUCUUGGAACAGUGACUCAUCUUUUCCUUAUAAAGCACCAUGCACGCAGAACAGUAUUAAUAAAGGAAUAAUGAUGGAAUCUGCUCAUCUCUUAGACACUGGGUCAGAGAUGACUGAUUCUGUGUCAGAUGCCAAUAAGGUUGACAUCUAGUUUGUGUUGUAUCUUGGAUAAAGCUGGGGAUUGAUAAUACAAGGACUAUAAAGUACAGAGGCCCGUGGAUGCAGACUCAAAGCAAUUGGGUCUUAAAAUAGAAACCAGGGAUCAAAACCCUAAAGAAGAUGCACCAUCAAUGCAAGCAGUUUGCAUUAUAUUCAGCUGAGAUUCUCAAUAUCACUGGCAAUCAUGGCCUAAAACUGGUAGAUCUCAUGACAUAAUGCAAUAGUGCUAUUCCACUGAAUAAGGAGAGCACGUAAAAACAGUUAUCUGUCCAAGAAAUUAAUUUCACUACUGAAUGUGUAAAUUCAUUUCUUUGCUACUGAGAGAUCAUUCUACAUAAAUAGUUAACCUUGGAUAAAAUGUGGUAAGUUUGCAAUUCUUAUUUCCUGAAACUUCUGCUGAUUAUCUGAAGCAUGAAGUUAUAAUUUUAUUGAGAAGGGUGUGGCAAAGACACAGUCUGGUGCUUCUCAACAAUAAGACAGAGUUUGAAUACUCACUGUAAGCUGCUUAAACCAGUCUCUGCCUACUCUUAUAUAUACAUUGCUACAGUAUGGUGCUAUUGGCGUAGUAUGUCAGUACUUAAUGUUUGAAGCAAUAAAUACAGAGUGCUUUUAAAUAAUUGAUAUGAACAGAUUCCAGACAAACUAGUUCAUAAAUUUUCAGUCUUGAACAAUGUAAUCCUUAGCAGAUGCUCAUGAUUAGGGACAUAGGUAUUUUAAAAAUGUAAUAAAAUGCUUAUAUUCAUUCUCAGAUCUAUCAUAUUAACAUAAUUAUCUGCUUUAGUUUGGGAUGAUCCUGAAAAACUUCAUCACUUCUUUAGUUAGUAUCAGAUAUUUAUAGCUUAAGCAAAAUAGAAAAUGACAGAAGAGUGGACAAGCUGUUUAUAUUGGCUAAAGAAAUAAUUAUCAGAUUAUUCAUGGCACUGUAAAGAGUAGGAAUGAUAAGCCCAGCCGUUGUAAUGUGAUUAGCUAAUGUUAGUUAAGCAUUGCGGAGACAGAAAGAACUCUACAAAGGUUAAGCAUUAUUAUUAUCACUGUUAAUUCAGAGUGAUGGAAAGCACAGUGAAACCACUUACCACGUGCCAUGUAAAGCUUGCAGAAAUCGAAAUUUAGAGCUGAGGGAUGGAAUAAAGAGCAUUACCAGCUGGUGAGCUCUUUCUCUUUGUUCCUGGCUGAGGUCUGAGUAGCUGGUCAUUUGAAAAGAUACCUCAUAGACAGGGACAAAGACACAGAAUCCAUCACAGUAGGAGGGACCAAUGUGGGUCAAACUGUGUGCCAGACUGACUCCCUCCAGCUGCCCUGUGGGCUGUCAAGUGCUGUAUAAGGAGCAGCAACCCUGAUAGCUUCAGGUUGCUACUCACAGCACUCCUUGGUCCUGGUAGGCCUUUGGACAUAAUCCAUAUUGGCAUAACCAUCCUAGAAACACUAACUUUCUUUGGCUUCAGUCUUGUAUUUCUGAGCAAUUCUGCAUUUAUGUCAUAGAUUAUUGCCUUAGGCAAGAUUUCUUCUAUGUUUUGCAUAAAACAAAGGUGCUUCAUUGGGAUGGUAGUUCCACCAUUUUUUAAAUGUAGAACUAGUUGAAAAUAAGCAUUUUUUUAAUCCUAAAGGAAAUUCUGGUGUUCUAAAAGCAAUACUGUUUUACCUUGGAAACUGAAAAAGCCAACAAACUGGUGCUAUACUAAGUACUAAUUCUAAUAUUAAUAUAACUAAUUAAUCACUUCACAUUAUUGAUAUAUUUUUCUGUUCAGAUUUAAAGAUAUAAUUGAAAUGAAUUUGACAUUAAUGACUGAAGGAAGAAUGCAUACUUUGAUAGAAAUUAAUUCUGUCAAGUAUUUAAUCUUGUUCUUUCAUGCUAAAUGUCUCUCUUAAGAACAGCAUUAGACAAAGGUCCAGUCUUUCAGAAAAAUCUAGUAAGAAAUCAAUGCUGAUGAAUGAAGACACAGUUAGAAAUCCGAGAUAACCUUAAAACAUCAGUGCAAGUUCAAAUGAAAAUGCUUCUUGACAAGUUUCUAUUAAACUGGUAAACUUCUAUAUUUCAAUGUUUCUGGAAUGUGUUUUCAAAGAACCUGAAGGUGCCUGGUCCAGCUGGGAUGGGAAGCUACCUUCUCUCUUCAGACUUAUUGCAAUAUCUGUGCUAAAGUGCAUAUCUAUAGUGUUUUGCAGAUUCACUAACUAGAGAAAUUGGCCAUCCCAAAGUAUCAUGAAUCUGACAUACCAGGGAGGAGAAGCAAACAGAUGAAGUCACAGAGAGAGGAGAAAGCAUUAAAAAGAGGACUGUUGGAAAUCUGAUUUACCGUGUGAUAUUUGGAGCCUGUUCUGUCUAUUGAAUUUGGCGUGCAUGCUUCUGCUGAUUCAUCACCUGUGAUAAGAAAAUUGAGCUGCAGGAGCACCACUGGUCAAAGAGUCUGUACCAGCACAAUGUGUCCUCACAAUUUGCACUUUUCCUGGUAAAAGACCAUGUAGGUCUUUUGUCACUUUCUGAUGCAAUGCACUACGGGAUGUGAAGUAAUGUAUCACCACGAAAGCAGGUCACACCACAGGCACAGUGGGUACAGUUUUCAGUUUUUCUCUGUGGCAAAAAUGAGGAAUUUAGAACAUAAAACGUGGGGGAAAUUAUGAGAAUUGGACAAUGUCCUUCCCAGUGUGUCAUUCUGACACAUUCUGUUCUCUUAUGCUUGUCACAUCUGUGGGCCCAAGUGUCCCAGUCUGUGGUGGUACCUGUGUCAAUGAACAUGCCCUCUAGCUUGGAUUUCAAAGAGCUGCCCAGUAAAAGAAUAUCCAUCCUGGUGGUGAAACCAUUUUUAGUUAUGCUCUGGCCUGCUGAAAUAAUGAAACUUAUGGAGGAGGAAUCACUUUGCAAGGAAGAGAAAGGGUCCUGCAACAAAGAUCUAAAACUUGAAGUAAUUUGUGAAGCUGUUAAUUUACCACCUGAACUUUAUUAACUGAUUUGGCUCAUCUGAAGAAAUUUCCCUGUAUUUGUAGAUCUAAAGCAAACAAUGGAAGCUGCAAAAUCUUCCCAUAUGAAGGGCAAUUUUUCCAAGUACAGAUAAGAAGAAUGCUGCCAGUGAGCCACCAGGAAAAUUCCAAUCAGACUCUGACUUUUGACAGUGGUUGAAGGGGUGGUUGUGUAGGAGGAAAGCAGGAGAACAGCAGGAUCCUAAGUGACAGUGGGAUAGUGGGAGGUGGAAGAAUUGUCCACCUGCUUUGGAAAUUCAACAUUGGACCACAACGAAGUUUACUGUGAUGUUGGAUAAUGGUGGAGUGCAUUUCCAGUAAAGUAUCAAGAACACAUUAUUCCUGGUGUGUUGGGAUGCCUGAGUUAAGUUUCUUGCAUAUUUAAAUAGAUGUGACCACUUUGGUAGCUCUCCUGGAAGCCAUUUAUUUCUUAAUUAGAAAUUCUAUAAAAGUGUUCAAGAGUACUAUGAAUCUUGAGAGUCUAGACAAAUAAAACAAUUAUAUGAAAUGAAAGAGGCCAAACUGAGUUAUUAAAACACAGUAUCUAAAUUGUUGUAAAGAUAUAGACAGGCCAUUCAUUGAUCAUAUGUCACCUUUUCUUUACAGGAGCAUCCAUCUUUCCCAAGGUGCAAAUAGAUCUUUGCAUUUUCACUUCCACUAAGAGCUUUACAAGGCCACCCUCAAAGGGAACAAGAGAGACAAUCACUGGGAGCACAUAUUUCUGAUUUAACUUGUAUUUUUUAUUAAUACUAAGUUGCUAUUGAAAAAUGAGGUGAAGACCAGUCUGCUUAUAAGAGGAACUUACUAAUGAACAUCUGGCAUGGCAUGUUAAACAAGCCUGCUUCUUCAUUACAAUGUAGAGGGGAGCUUGGGGAGGCACUCAGGACCCUCAAAAGGAAAGACUACAUGUAUACUAAUAAAAUGAUAAAUUCUGAUGUUCUUAGACUCUGCAGCCAGAGCAAACAGAAUAUAUAGCAAUAUAUAACAUUCUUAAAAUAAAAAUCUCCAUCCAAACCACCCGCUGGAAAGGCCACUCCCAUGCCAGGAGAGCCUACUGUUUGGUAGAGGGACCCAUCGCAGGGACCAUACUUGUAGUUUAGCAAGAUGCAGAAGAACAAAUUCCCAUGCUUGGAACCUCUCUUUAAACUGUGUACUCAGCUAGAGAUAUACUAUCAAAGUGUGCAGAAACCUCUGAAGGCUGUUUCCACUGCUAUUUUCUUGGUGUAGCUAUGGCAGGAUGUCCAAACACUUGUUCUUUGUUGUUCUAUAAGAAGGGGUCAAGGAGCCCUUGUCACAUGAAGUUUUUUUCUGAAUCCUUUUCUCUUCUGUGGUCUUUCUUUCUCUUUGUUGUAUUGUGCUCUCAGCAAAAAGAACCCCUCUGACACAAAAGACGGCUUCUCUGUUCUUUGGUUUAGGGAUUUUCCUAUUAUGUGUGUACCUCCCCAGGGAAAAACAGGUUUUCCAUUGGGCUUUUCCUUUAGUUCAAGCACAGUUUGUCCACUGCUAAUGACAUUUUUGUUUGUGUGGUAACACUUUCCAAAAGGGUGGGGAGAGGUGUUGGAAAAUCUUCUGAUGGCUAGCUGUGUAUGGAAGUGUUUAACAACACAACAAUUUCAUAACAAGGAUCAGGAUUAUUUACAUUACCUAACAAAUUCCCCAAAACACCAGGCUACUCUCACAAGGCCUAAUCCUGGCUUAAAGAGCAGCUCUUCACUCUCUGUUCAGCAAAAUGUUCUUUCAUUGUUUAAUUUGAAAUUUUCAGCUAUCUUGUUAAUAUUCAGCUAUCUUGUAUAAAGAAAAUAGAAAAUUUCAGCUAUCUUGUAUAAAUAUGUUCAAGUGGCAUUUCACUACAAAAUGUUGAGACAAUACAUCUUGGGUUUGCUUUGUUUUGGUAGCAGGGGUGCUAUAGGAGUGUCUUCUGUCAGAAGAUUCCAGAAGCUUCCCAUUUGUCCAAUGGAGCCAUGCCAGCCAAAAACAAGACAGACCUGCUGUUGGCCAAAGCUGAGCUGUUCCACUGGAGAGAAAGCAGUGGAGAAAUUGGGAAUGAAUUUGAGCUUAAGAAGGGAAGCACAGAAGAAGAUGUUUUAAGAUUUAUUUUUAAUUCUCAUUGUAUUGCUCUGAUUUAAUUGUUAAUAAAUUAAGCUAAUUUCCCCAA